CAGGUCUUGACAUCCCACUGACCGGUGUAGAGAUACAUCUUUCCCUUCGGGGACAGUGGUGACAGGUGGUGCAUGGUUGUCGUCAGCUCGUGUCGUGAGAUGUUGGGUUAAGUCCCGCAACGAGCGCAACCCUUGAUCUUAGUUGCCAGCAUUUAGUUGGGCACUCUAAGGUGACUGCCGGUGACAAACCGGAGGAAGGUGGGGAUGACGUCAAAUCAUCAUGCCCCUUAUGACCUGGGCUACACACGUGCUACAAUGGAUGAUACAGAGGGUUGCCAACCCGCGAGGGGGAGCCAAUCCCAUAAAAUCAUUCCCAGUUCGGAUUGGAGGCUGCAACUCGCCUCCAUGAAGCCGGAAUCGCUAGUAAUCGUGGAUCAGCAUGCCACGGUGAAUACGUUCCC
This 401-nucleotide ribosomal RNA is filed under the name uncultured soil bacterium. RNAcentral's name for it is "bacterial SSU rRNA". It matches the Rfam family "Bacterial small subunit ribosomal RNA", at positions 975 to 1375 of the family's 1533-position model. The record is from RNAcentral.